Molecule: long non-coding RNA, 202 nt
Organism: Myripristis murdjan (pinecone soldierfish)
Lineage: Eukaryota; Metazoa; Chordata; Actinopteri; Holocentriformes; Holocentridae
Exons: 3
Source: RefSeq, a predicted model, not a curated record
CCAGCAGGAACAUCGGAGAGGCAUCGCUGGACUUCGGUGCUCUCCUGGCUACAGUCUGCAGCCGCUGGGCGAAGGUGUUUGUGCUGGAUUUCCCUCCACGCCUGAACAUCGAGCCUGGCCUGCAGGAGCUGUUCCGCCAGGAGUUCCGCCGUGUCGCAGCACGCAUGGGUCUCCCGUACGUGUCUGUGGCAGAGCACCUCCC